UACAGAGGGUGCAAGCGUUGUUCGGAAUUAUUGGGCGUAAAGCGCGUGUAGGCGGCUUUGCAAGUCGGGUGUGAAAGCCCCCGGCUCAACCGGGGAACUGCAGGGCAUACUGCGGAGCUUGAGGAAGCUAGAGGCUGGUAGAACGAUAGGUGGAGCGGUGGAAUGCGUAGAUAUCUAUCGGAAUGCCGAAAGUGAAGACAGCCAGCUGGGGCUUUCCUGACGCUGAGGCACGAAAGCGUGGGGAGCAAACCGG
RNAcentral lists this ribosomal RNA (253 nucleotides) under uncultured bacterium. RNAcentral describes it as "partial 16S ribosomal RNA". It matches the Rfam family "Bacterial small subunit ribosomal RNA", at positions 524 to 776 of the family's 1533-position model. The record is from RNAcentral.